GACGAAGGGGGCUAGCGUUGUUCGGAAUUACUGGGCGUAAAGCGCGCGUAGGCGGCUCUUCAAGUCAGGCGUGAAAGCCCCGGGCUUAACCCGGGAAUAGCGCUUGAUACUGUUGGGCUUGAGUCCGGGAGAGGAUAGUGGAAUUCCCAGUGUAGAGGUGAAAUUCGUAGAUAUUGGGAAGAACACCAGUGGCGAAGGCGGCUAUCUGGACCGGAACUGACGCUGAGGCGCGAAAGCGUGGGGAGCAAAC
Molecule: ribosomal RNA, 250 nt
Filed under: uncultured bacterium
Lineage: Bacteria
Description: partial 16S ribosomal RNA
Rfam family: Bacterial small subunit ribosomal RNA
Source: RNAcentral